This 275-nucleotide ribosomal RNA is filed under the name uncultured bacterium. RNAcentral describes it as "partial 16S ribosomal RNA". It matches the Rfam family "Bacterial small subunit ribosomal RNA", at positions 82 to 354 of the family's 1533-position model. The record is from RNAcentral.
CUGCCGCCGGCGACCGGCGCACGGGUGAGUAACACGUAUGUAACCUGGCCGUGACAGAUGGAUAACCGGGAGAAAUCCCGCCUAAUACAACAUAAUGCCGGGAGGGGACAUCCCCUGCCGGCCAAAGGGGCGACCCCGGUCACGGAUGGGCAUGCGGCGCAUUAGGUAGUUGGUGGGGCAACGGCCCACCAAGCCGACGAUGCGUAGGGGUUCUGAGAGGAAGGUCCCCCACAUUGGAACUGAGACACGGUCCAAACUCCUACGGAAGGCAGCAG